RNAcentral lists this ribosomal RNA (927 nucleotides) under uncultured bacterium. RNAcentral describes it as "bacterial SSU rRNA". It matches the Rfam family "Bacterial small subunit ribosomal RNA", at positions 8 to 917 of the family's 1533-position model. The record is from RNAcentral.
AGAGUUUGAUCAUGGCUCAGGACGAACGCUGGCGGCGUGCCUAACACAUGCAAGUCGAACGGAGAUAUUAAGGAAGCUUGCGAAUUAAUAUCUUAGUGGCGGACGGGUGAGUAACGCGUGGGUAAUCUGCCCAUAAGUGGGGGACAACAGUUGGAAACGACUGCUAAUACCGCAUAUGGUGAGCAAUCAUUAAAGGAGGCCUCUUAACAAUGCUUCCGCUUAUGGAUGAGCCCGCGUCUGAUUAGCUAGUUGGUGGGGUAAAGGCCUACCAAGGCAACGAUCAGUAGCCGGCCUGAGAGGGUGAACGGCCACACUGGGACUGAGACACGGCCCAGACUCCUACGGGAGGCAGCAGUGGGGAAUAUUGCGCAAUGGGGGAAACCCUGACGCAGCGACGCCGCGUGAGCGAUGAAGGCCUUAGGGUUGUAAAGCUCUGUUUUAGGGGACGAAUGUUCAUGGGAGUAAUAUGCCCGUGAAAUGACGGUACCCUAAGAGGAAGCCCCGGCUAACUACGUGCCAGCAGCCGCGGUAAGACGUAGGGGGCGAGCGUUGUCCGGAAUUACUGGGCGUAAAGAGCACGUAGGCGGAGACUUAAGUCAGGUGUGAAAGACCGGGGCUCAACCCCGGGGUGGCACUUGAAACUGGGUCCCUUGAGGGCAGGAGAGGAAAGUAGAAUUCCUGGUGUAGCGGUGAAAUGCGUAGAAAUCAGGAGGAAUACCAGUGGCGAAGGCGACUUUCUGGACUGACCCUGACGCUGAGGUGCGAAAGCGUGGGUAGCAAACAGGAUUAGAUACCCUGAUAGUCCACGCCGUAAACGAUGGAUACUAGGUGUGGGAGGUAUCGACCCCUUCCGUGCCGCAGCUAACGCAAUAAGUAUCCCGCCCUGGGGAGUACGGUCGCAAGGCUGAACUCAAAUGAAUUGACGAA